AGCGAACGCUGGCGGCAGGCUUAACACAUGCAAGUCGAGCGGUCCCUUCGGGGUCAGCGGCGGACGGGUGAGUAACGCGUGGGAAUGUGCCUUCUGGUCUGGAAUAACCCUGGGAAACUAGGGCUAAUACCGGAUACGCCCUUUUGGGGUAAGGUUUACUGCCGGAAGAUCGGCCCGCGUCUGAUUAGCUAGUUGGUGGGGUAACGGCCUACCAAGGCGUCGAUCAGUAGCUGGUCUGAGAGGAUGAUCAGCCACACUGGGACUGAGACACGGCCCAGACUCCUACGGGAGGCAGCAGUGGGGAAUAUUGGACAAUGGGCGCAAGCCUGAUCCAGCCAUGCCGCGUGAGUGAUGAAGGCCUUAGGGUUGUAAAGCUCUUUUAUCCGGGACGAUAAUGACGGUACCGGAGGAAUAAGCCCCGGCUAACUUCGUG
This 433-nucleotide ribosomal RNA is filed under the name uncultured bacterium. Its description in RNAcentral is "partial 16S ribosomal RNA". It matches the Rfam family "Bacterial small subunit ribosomal RNA", at positions 29 to 507 of the family's 1533-position model. The record is from RNAcentral.